GAGCAACCUGCCCCUGGCUCUGGGACAACCACUGGAAACGGUGGCUAAUACCGGAUACGACCCGCACAGGCAUCUGUUGUGGGUGGAAAGUUUUUCGGCUGGGGAUGGGCUCGCGGCCUAUCAGCUUGUUGGUGGGGUGAUGGCCUACCAAGGCGACGACGGGUAGCCGGCCUGAGAGGGCGACCGGCCACACUGGGACUGAGACACGGCCCAGACUCCUACGGGAGGCAGCAGUGGGGAAUAUUGCACAAUGGGCGAAAGCCUGAUGCAGCGACGCCGCGUGAGGGAUGACGGCCUUCGGGUUGUAAACCUCUUUCAGCUCCGAAGAAGCGCAAGUGACGGUAGGAGCAGAAGAAGCACCGGCUAACUACGUGCCAGCAGCCGCGGUAAUACGUAGGGUGCAAGCGUUGUCCGGAAUUAUUGGGCGUAAAGAGCUCGUAGGCGGUGUGUCGCGUCUGCUGUGAAAACUCAGGGCUCAACUCUGAGCUUGCAGUGGGUACGGGCACACUUGAGUGCUGUAGGGGAGACUGGAAUUCCUGGU
Molecule: ribosomal RNA, 541 nt
Filed under: uncultured bacterium
Lineage: Bacteria
Description: bacterial SSU rRNA
Rfam family: Bacterial small subunit ribosomal RNA
Source: RNAcentral